Molecule: transfer RNA, 73 nt
Filed under: freshwater metagenome
Also listed under: 1 other name
Description: tRNA-Arg
Rfam family: tRNA
About the family: Transfer RNA (tRNA) molecules are approximately 80 nucleotides in length.
Source: RNAcentral
GCCCCUAUAGCUCAGGGGAUAGAGCACCGCCCUCCGGAGGCGGGGGCGCAGGUUCGAUUCCUGCUAGGGGCAC